UGAAACUCGCCUACAUGAAGCUGGAGUUACUAGUAAUCGCAGAUCAGAAUGCUGCGGUGAAUGCGUUCCCGGGUCUUGUACACACCGCCCGUCACACCACGGGAGUUGGAGACGCCCGAAGCCGAUUAUCUAACCUUUUGGAAGAAGUCGUCGAAGGUGGAAUCAAUAACUGGGGUGAAGUCGUAACAAGGUAGCCGUAUCGGAAGGUGCGGCUGGAUCACCUCCUUUCUAAGGAGA
RNAcentral lists this ribosomal RNA (237 nucleotides) under Clostridioides difficile. RNAcentral describes it as "partial 16S ribosomal RNA". It matches the Rfam family "Bacterial small subunit ribosomal RNA", at positions 1306 to 1533 of the family's 1533-position model. Lineage: Bacteria; Bacillati; Bacillota; Clostridia; Peptostreptococcales; Peptostreptococcaceae. The record is from RNAcentral.